This 497-nucleotide ribosomal RNA is filed under the name uncultured bacterium. RNAcentral describes it as "partial 16S ribosomal RNA". It matches the Rfam family "Bacterial small subunit ribosomal RNA", at positions 28 to 507 of the family's 1533-position model. The record is from RNAcentral.
GAUGAACGCUGGCGGCGUGCCUAAUACAUGCAAGUCGAGCGAACGGACGAGAAGCUUGCUUCUCUGAUGUUAGCGGCGGACGGGUGAGUAACACGUGGAUAACCUACCUAUAAGACUGGGAUAACUUCGGGAAACCGGAGCUAAUACCGGAUAAUAUUUUGAACCGCAUGGUUCAAAAGUGAAAGACGGUCUUGCUGUCACUUAUCGCUGGUUCCGCGCUGCAUUAGCUAGUUGGUAAGGUAACGGCUUACCAAGGCAACGAUGCAUAGCCGACCUGAGAGGGUGAUCGGCCACACGGGAACUGAGACACGGACCAGACUCCUACGGGAGGCAGCAGUAGGGAAUCUUCCGCAAUGGGCGAAAGCCUGACGGAGCAACGCCGCGUGAGUGAUGAAGGUCUUCGGAUCGUAAAACUCUGUUAUUAGGGAAGAACAUAUGUGUAAGUAACUGUGCACAUCUUGACGGUACCUAAUCAGAAAGCCACGGCUAACUACGUG